This 497-nucleotide ribosomal RNA is filed under the name uncultured bacterium. RNAcentral's name for it is "partial 16S ribosomal RNA". It matches the Rfam family "Bacterial small subunit ribosomal RNA", at positions 28 to 507 of the family's 1533-position model. The record is from RNAcentral.
GAUGAACGCUGGCGGCGUGCCUAAUACAUGCAAGUCGAGCGAACAGACGAGGAGCUUGCUCCUCUGACGUUAGCGGCGGACGGGUGAGUAACACGUGGAUAACCUACCUAUAAGACUGGGAUAACUUCGGGAAACCGGAGCUACUACCGGAUAAUAUAUUGAACCGCAUGGUUCAAUAGUGAAAGACGGUUUUGCUGUCACUUAUAGAUGGAUCCACGCCGCAUUAGCUAGUUGGUAAGGUAACGGCUUACCAAGGCAACGAUGCGUAGCCGACCUGAGAGGGUGAUCGGCCACACUGGAACUGAGACACGGUCCAGACUCCUACGGGAGGCAGCAGUAGGGAAUCUUCCGCAAUGGGCGAAAGCCUGACGGAGCAACGCCGCGUGAGUGAUGAAGGUCUUCGGAUCGUAAAACUCUGUUAUUAGGGAAGAACAAAUGUGUAAGUAACUAUGCACGUCUUGACGGUACCUAAUCAGAAAGCCACGGCUAACUACGUG